This 734-nucleotide long non-coding RNA is filed under the name Chlamydomonas reinhardtii. RNAcentral describes it as "long non-coding RNA (CREI_LNC000536)". The record is from RNAcentral. Lineage: Eukaryota; Viridiplantae; Chlorophyta; Chlorophyceae; Chlamydomonadales; Chlamydomonadaceae.
GCAGCCCGGCUGCCGCGGAGGUGCGGUGGAGCCAGGGGUCCAGAGCCACCGGGUUAUUGUGGAAAUGCUGCGCCGCCGUGGUGGUCAGCUGCGCCGCUGCACGCUGCCACUCCGCCUCCCGCUCCGCCAGCCGCGACUGUGCCACCGGCUGGGGCCCCGAAUCCCCCGCCUGCCCUAUGGCACCCAAACGAUCGUUACGAUCGCUGUUACCUAGGUCGUAGAUCGUUACCCCUCCGGCAUCGUUACGAUCUCGCUACGAUCUGCUUACCAUCUUAACCAGCCAUGGUAACAGCCUUGUCACGGUCUACAAGGCACACCAGUAACCAUCACUUUGACGCCCGUUACAUGGCAGCCUUGUGCUUUGCUGAAGGCCUACCUCAGUACUAACGUAAGAACUAUGUAGUCCGCUACUCCACAUGCUAGCCAUCUGUCAAGGCUUGAUAGCAUGACAAGUGCAGAUGCUCAUGCAACACUUAUGCAACACUUAUGCAACACUACCGCAAGUCCAUACGUACAUGCAACAAUACGCCAAGUCAUGUCUGCGUGUGAACGUGCAACUAGCCACUGGCAGCAACCACUUGCAUGUCUGCUGGGCACAACGUUUCUGACCCACCACCUUGACGCCCGCCGCCACCACAGCUACCAUGCCAAACUAUGCCACUGGCGCCUCCAUCUCUAGCGCCAGACAGCUGGUGUCACGCUGGCUCCUGUAGUUUUGCUUCCACCGGCAGCGC